This 22-nucleotide non-coding RNA is filed under the name Arabidopsis thaliana (thale cress). Lineage: Eukaryota; Viridiplantae; Streptophyta; Magnoliopsida; Brassicales; Brassicaceae. The record is from RNAcentral.
UAUCGAGUGGUUUGGUCCUGGA